GCCCGGUUAACUCAGUCGGUAGAGCAUCAGACUUUUAAUCUGAGGGUCAGGGGUUCGAGUCCCUCAUCGGGCG
Molecule: transfer RNA, 73 nt
Filed under: Lytechinus variegatus (green sea urchin)
Lineage: Eukaryota; Metazoa; Echinodermata; Echinoidea; Temnopleuroida; Toxopneustidae
Description: tRNA-Lys
Rfam family: tRNA
About the family: Transfer RNA (tRNA) molecules are approximately 80 nucleotides in length. Their secondary structure includes four short double-helical elements and three loops (D, anti-codon, and T loops).
Source: RNAcentral